Long non-coding RNA from Chenopodium quinoa (quinoa), 700 nucleotides. RefSeq lists it as uncharacterized. Lineage: Eukaryota; Viridiplantae; Streptophyta; Magnoliopsida; Caryophyllales; Amaranthaceae. The transcript has 5 exons. The record is from RefSeq and is a predicted model, not a curated record.
ACCGGGCUUCUAGUUCUUCUUCUUUUCUUUCCCCCUGAUUUUUCAACACUUGUUUUUUCCCUCGUUCUCACCUUCUCUUCCAGGCCACUACCUCCGAAUUCCCACCUUCUCCAUUGAAGCCGUUUUUGAGCUCUCUAUCUUCGUUGAAGCAGCUGCAUGCACCUCCUUCUCUCUCCAUAUCUCUCCUCCAUUGAACUCGUGCUCUCUAUUCUCCAUUGAAGCGCAUUCUGAGUUUUCUCACCUCCAUUGAAGCAGCUUCGAGGUUGUGGGGAAAGGCAUGUUGGUUAUCAUUUCCGAUUCUAGAAAGCUCUCUUUUCUAACAUUUUGUAAUGAAAUGCACAGGUUCUUUCCAGUGACUCAUGUUCAACUUUCAAUCCCUGGCAACUCAAGACACCAGAUUGGUAGAAUGCUUACUGUUGAUGCCUUGAUAGGGAACUGUUUUUUAUUAGAUCAGUGUCUAAAAUUGGAGCUUCUUCAAAUUCUAUCGUCAUAAAAGACACUCGUGAGGAUCAGGAAGGCAAGGAAGCUACUACUGUAGACGAGACUUUUGUUAGAGCUCUGGAAUACGGGCUUCCUCCAUCUGCAGGCUAGGGGCUAGGCGUGGACAGACUUGUCAUGCUGCUUACGGGCUCAGAUUUCCAAUGUACACAAUAUAUAUAUAGUCCUAUUAUGUAUAUGUGUAAUAUUACAAGUUAUUGAA